This 236-nucleotide ribosomal RNA is filed under the name uncultured bacterium. RNAcentral's name for it is "partial 16S ribosomal RNA". It matches the Rfam family "Bacterial small subunit ribosomal RNA", at positions 1257 to 1500 of the family's 1533-position model. The record is from RNAcentral.
GCGACGCCGAGCGGAACCCGAAAACCUAGUCUCAGUUCGGAUCGGAGUCUGCAACCCGACUCCGUGAAGCUGGAUUCGCUAGUAAUCGCGCAUCAGCCAUGGCGCGGUGAAUAUGUUCCCGGGCCUUGUACACACCGCCCGUCAAGCCAUGGAAGCCGGGGGUGCCUGAAGUGUGCAGCCGCAAGGAGCGCCCUAAGGUAAAACCGGUGACUGGGGCUAAGUCGUAACAAGGUACC